GGUUAACGAACUCAACUAGGAUCUAUGAGGAUGCAGAUUUACCAGUAUUGAUAACUGGGACCGUCAGCCAAGCCAUCCACUACUGGAACUUGGUUUCCCCGGGUCUAGAAUUGUGUGUGGCUGAGUGGUACCACUGAAGAAGCUUUCACUGAUCAGUUUUUAUGCUUAGCCUGGGAGCAGCAAAAGUGAUACUCAAGCUGAAUUCCCCUCCAAGUGGAGAUGUUCCUUCUGGUCCAGUUGCCUAUGAAAAGGGGCAUAAUUCUGACUGUUUAGCUGUUAAGCAUCAUGAAAUUCACUUGCCUCCCACCCAACCUCCACCUUGGCCUUUAUGAAUAGUGAAGUCAGAAGGUGGCUGGAUCUGGAUUCAGCUGAUCAUGCCUGGGGCUGGAUGUUCACCAUGACUCAAAAGUCUGGCACCUCAGCUGAGAUGGCAAGCUUAGCUCUCUUUCUCCACGCGGCCCUUCUACAUAGCCAGGUAGGGCUUCCUUGUAUAAGAGGGAAAGGAGAUCUCCUGGUAGUUACACUUCUUACUUUGUGAUUGGCCUCCACCCGAAUGUGUUUCCAGAAAACAAGGAAGAUGCACUAAGGCUUCUUAUGACCUAGACAUGGAGGUCAUGAAGCAUCAUUUCUGCUGCAUUCUAUGGAGUUGGCGGGGCCACUCCAGAUUCAAUAUAGGGGGGACUAGGAAGGGUAUCAAUUCCAGGAGGCUUGAUGUAUGGACAUGGGGGCUUAACCAUGAACUCAUACUGGAAACAAAUGUUUGCUAUAAGAAACUUUAUUUAUUAGGGUGUUUAUUAGAGAGAAUUGUGUUUGUUCAUUUAAUUUUGUAAUUGCUUGUCGUCAGAAUCUGAAAUCUCCUCACCAAUCUUUUUUUUUUUUUCCCUUGGAUGUGCAUGUGCCUUGUGGAAGUUCUUGAGCUGGGAUUGAACCUGUGCAACAGCAGCGACCUGAGCCACGCAGUGAUAAUGCCAGAUCCUUAACUUACUAAGCCACCAGGAAACUCCAUCCUCACCAAUCUUAUGGGGAUUAAAUGAUGAUUAUUUAAUUCA
RNAcentral lists this long non-coding RNA (1049 nucleotides) under Sus scrofa (pig). RNAcentral describes it as "lncRNA (ENSSSCG00025057748.1, ENSSSCG00035075824.1, ENSSSCG00175014571.1)". The record is from RNAcentral. Lineage: Eukaryota; Metazoa; Chordata; Mammalia; Artiodactyla; Suidae.